CCUAAACUUGCCGUUGGUUUUUUACCGGAAUUAUACAUGCAAGUAUCCGCACCCCAGUGAAAACGCCCACUAACCACCUAAACAGACAACAGGAGCAGGUAUCAGGCACACCAUAAAAUUAAGCCAACGACGCCCAGCUACGCCACACCCCCACGGGUCAUCAGCAGUAAUUAAUAUUAAGCAAUAGGCGACUAAGCCUGACUUAGUCACGGUAUACCAGGGUUGGUUAAUUUCGUGCCAGCCACCGCGGUUAUACGAAAGACCCGAAACAACGGCCCUCGGCGUAAAGCGUGGCAAGAACUUCUUCAUCUAAGAAUUAAUGGGAAAACCAAGCCGAAGCUGUAAAACGCCACGGUAUAUAAG
This 363-nucleotide ribosomal RNA is filed under the name Acontias rieppeli. RNAcentral's name for it is "partial 12S ribosomal RNA". The record is from RNAcentral. Lineage: Eukaryota; Metazoa; Chordata; Lepidosauria; Squamata; Scincidae.